GACGAACGCUGGCGGCGUGCCUAAUACAUGCGAGUCGAGCGAAGUUUUUCUGGUGCUUGCACCGGAAAAACUUAGCGGCGAACGGGUGAGUAACACGUAAAGAACCUGCCUCAUAGACUGGGACAACUAUUGGAAACGAUAGCUAAUACCGGAUAAUAGCAUUAACUGCAUGGUUGAUGUUUAAAAGUUGGUUUUGCUAACACUAUGAGAUGGCUUUGCGGUGCAUUAGCUAGUUGGUGGGGUAAAGGCCUACCAAGGCGACGAUGCAUAGCCGACCUGAGAGGUUGAUCGGCCACACUGGGAGUGAGGCACGGCCCAGACUCCUACGGGAGGCAGCAGUAGGGAAUCUUCCGCAAUGGGCGAAAGCCUGACGGAGCAACGCCGCGUGAGUGAAGAAGGAUUUCGGUUCGUAAAGCUCUGUUGUUAGGGAAGAAGGAUUGUGUAGUAACUAUAUACAGUAGAGACGGUACCUAACCAGAAAGCCACGGCUAACUACGUG
This 499-nucleotide ribosomal RNA is filed under the name uncultured bacterium. RNAcentral describes it as "partial 16S ribosomal RNA". It matches the Rfam family "Bacterial small subunit ribosomal RNA", at positions 28 to 507 of the family's 1533-position model. The record is from RNAcentral.